GAUGAACGCUAGCUACAGGCUUAACACAUGCAAGUCGAGGGGCAGCAUGAAAGGAACUUCGGUUCUUUUUGAUGGCGACCGGCGCACGGGUGCGUAACGCGUAUCGAACCUGCCUCAUACUCGGGGAUAGCCUUGCGAAAGUAAGAUUAAUACCCGGCAGUCUCGGAUGGCCGCAUGACUGUCCGAGUGAAGAUUUAUCGGUAUGAGAUGGCGAUGCGUCCCAUUAGCUAGUUGGUGAGGUAACGGCUCACCAAGGCACCGAUGGGUAGGGGUUCUGAGAGGAAGGUCCCCCACAAUGGAACUGAGACACGGUCCAAACUCCUACGGGAGGCAGCAGUGAGGAAUAUUGGUCAAUGGACGAAAGUCUGAACCAGCCAAGUAGCGUGCAGGACGACGGCCCUCUGGGUUAUAAACUGCUUUUAGUUGGGAAUAAAAAGAGGGACGUGUCCCUUAUUGUAUGUACCAUCAGAAAAAGGACCGGCUAAUUCCGUGCCAGCCGCCGCCGUAA
RNAcentral lists this ribosomal RNA (508 nucleotides) under uncultured bacterium. Its description in RNAcentral is "partial 16S ribosomal RNA". It matches the Rfam family "Bacterial small subunit ribosomal RNA", at positions 28 to 523 of the family's 1533-position model. The record is from RNAcentral.